UGUUGCUGGUCGGAAGACAUGUGCACGCUUGUCCUCUUUAUUUUUCCAACUGUGCACAUAUUGUAGACCUUUUUGAGGGAAUGAUGGCCAAGGUCUAUGUUACAUUUAACAACUUGUUGUAGAAUGGGGGAUAUGAAACAAAUAUACAACUUUCAGCAACGGAUCUCUUGGCUCUCGCAUCGAUGAAGAACGCAGCGAAAUGCGAUAAGUAAUGUGAAUUGCAGAAUUCAGUGAAUCAUCGAAUCUUUGAACGCAUCUUGCGCUCCUUGGUAUUCCGAGGAGCAUGCCUGUUUGAGUGUCAUCAAGUUCUCAACCAUACCUCGGUGUGGCUUGGAUUUGGGGGUUUUUGCAGGCUUCAAAGAAAGUCGGCUCCCCUGAAAAGCAUUAGCGGUGUCCGAGUACCUUUGGUGUGAUAACUAUCUAUGCCUUGGUGUAUACGAUGCAUGCUGCUUCUGAACUUCAUUUUUAUUGACAAAUUUGACCUCAAAUCAGGUAGGAUUACCCGCUGAACUUAAGCAUAUCAAUAAGCGGAGGAAAAGAAACUAACAAGGAUUCCCCUAGUAACUGCGAGUGAAGCGGGAAAAGCUCAAAUUUAAAAUCUGGCGGUCGUUGGCCGUCCGAGUUGUAAUCUAGAGAAGUGUUACCUGUGCUGGACCGUGUACAAGUCUCCUGGAAUGGAGCAUCAUAGAGGGUGAGAAUCCCGUCUUUGACAUGGACUGCCUGUACAUGAUGGUGCGCUCUCGAAGAGUCGAGUUGUUUGGGAAUGCAGCUCAAAAUGGGUGGUAAAUGCCAUCU
This 795-nucleotide ribosomal RNA is filed under the name uncultured fungus. Its description in RNAcentral is "eukaryotic LSU rRNA". The stretch from base 479 to 795 matches the Rfam family "Eukaryotic large subunit ribosomal RNA", at positions 1 to 311 of the family's 3401-position model. Lineage: Eukaryota; Fungi. The record is from RNAcentral.